Molecule: long non-coding RNA, 1924 nt
Filed under: Macaca fascicularis (crab-eating macaque)
Lineage: Eukaryota; Metazoa; Chordata; Mammalia; Primates; Cercopithecidae
Description: lncRNA (ENSMFAG00000053088.1)
Source: RNAcentral
UUUUUUUGUUUUUUUUUUUUUAGAUGGAGUCUCACUCUGUCGUGGCCCAGGCUGGAGUGCAAUGGUGCAAUCUCUGCUCACUGCAACAUCUGCCUCCCUAGUUCAAGUGAUUCUCCCGAGUAACUGGGACUACAGGCCAUGCGCCAUCACGCCCAGCUAAUUUUUGUAUUUUUAGUAGAGACUAAAAAUGUUGGCCAGGCUGGUCUCGAACUCCCGACCUCAAGUUAUUCUCCUGCCUCGGCCUCCCAAAGUGCUGCGAAUCCAGGCGUGAGCCACCCCGCCUGGCAUUAUUUUGUAUUAAAAUAGUGUUUGUUGAUUCAUUGGGCAAAAUUGAUUCACUGGGCUUUGAGCAUAUAUGGUAGUGAGCAGAAGACAUUUUUAUUUACUGGAUUUUAAACAAUCAUUUUGUAAAGAGGUUUGAAUAAUGAGAAAAAUACCCUGCACCACAGGAUGCCAUUGGCACUCGCCCUCCUUCGUGGGACCCAGGUCCCCCUGUACCUGUCCUGCUGCCUGAGGCCACUGUGCCACCCCUGGAUGCUGCCCCUGUGGCCCUUGGGCUCCCCCGCCCUCCCCACCUCCUGGCUGCUGCCCAGGGCAGCCUGGGGUGAGGCAGUGCAGUGGCACAGAGUCAGCAACAAGGGCACAGCCACAUCUCCUACCCUGGAGGUUGGCUUGGGGGGCUCAGCGUGAAGGGGGUCAAAGGAGUAGCUGAGCACCCUUUGACCAGCCGGCCUCCUAGGACACAAGCAGGCUCCUAGGAGGAGUCUGACCUCUCAGUGCCUGAGCCUCUGUUUCCUGCACUGACAAAGCCCUUCCAUGGCUUUUCGCAUUUCUUUCUCAUAGCCACACCCAUGCAGAACUGAUGCACCAGCCAGGACCCUUUUGUGGGGGCCUGUCCCGGGUCACAGACCAGGUCUCUCUUUUGACCAUGGACACGGGGCAGCCAGGAAGGGGCUGUGCUGCCAGGCAAGUCCAUGCGUCCUGAAGGCACAGAGGCCCCUCCAGACUGCCCAUUUCAGGACCUUGUCAUGCAGCUGGAGUCAUGGGUGACACCAGCCCCGGGGCCAGGCAGUGGCUUGGCAAGCGUUGCAGCAGCCACACGGCAGUAAGAAAUUCUUUUUCUGUGCAUCCAGGUGGCUCCAGCCAGCACCGUCCUUUCCGUGUGGGGUGUGCCUGACACCCUCCUUUCCCCGUCCCAGAAAGGUGAAGAACCUGACCUCCCAAGUCCAUUCCGUGGCUGGCUGAUGGGCUGGGUCACAGAUCUAAACCCCUCAACCUGGCCUGUCCUGGAGCGGGCGGCCUUGGUGAGCACAGCUGCUGAAGGGGCAGCAAAUGCCAGUCGUGCCUGUCCUGGUCACUGGGGUCGCGUCUUUGCCCAGCCUGGCGCAGGCACUGGGCGGGGAGAAUGGGGCCUUGUGUCUCCAGCUCACAGCCGAGCUUUCAGAGCAUCAGACUGGGUUCAUUGUUCAGAACCGGGAAAACUAAAAACAGCAUUGAGAAUGGAACUUGGACCUUCUGGAAAUGACAGCUGAGUAAAGACUCAUUUAUUCUGCUUCCCUUCUUGAAACUCACUGCAGUGAACAAAGAGGAUGAAAAAUAGGGAACAAGAUUUAAUUCACAAUGGGCCUAAGGAAUAGCCAUGGCAAAGGAGGGUGUCGGCCAGACGGGAAGCAGUGACAGCCACAUCAGGUCCAGCAGGCUGGGUUUUUGUUUAACAAGAAUGGAUUUUUGGAGAUAGUGUUGAUGAGUAUUUUAAAAGAAUGGGGGUUGUGGCUCGGGGAAGCUGAGUAUAGGCAGACAUCUGGCAAGAUGAGGCAGAAGGCCCACGUGCUUCACUUUUCUAUAAGAUCCAGAUUCUCUUUUUUUUUCUAAUUUUUAGAAAAGGGGGCCUCACUUUGUUGCCCAGGUUAGAGCUCAGUACCAC